GAUGAAGAACGUAGCGAAAUGCGAUAAGUAAUGCGAAUUGCAGAAUCCGUGAGUCAUCGAAUCUUUGAACGCAUAUUGCGCCCUUUGGCAUUCCGAAGGGCAUGCCUGUUCGAGCGUCAUUAUCACCCCUCAAGCCCCGGCUUGGUGUUGGGCCCCCGGUGGUCGUACCCGACCACCCGCCUCAAAGAUAGUGACGGCGUCCCAGAGGGAACCGGUACGAGGAGCUUUCACGAGCAUGUACGCGGGACGACUCUGUGGGCGACGGUCUUUUUUAACCUUAAUAUAUCAAGUGUUGACCUCGGAUCAGGUAGGAAUACUCGCUGAACUUAAGCAUAUCAAUAAGCGGAGGA
This 350-nucleotide unclassified non-coding RNA is filed under the name soil metagenome. RNAcentral describes it as "partial contains 5.8S ribosomal RNA, internal transcribed spacer 2, and large subunit ribosomal RNA". The stretch from base 1 to 119 matches the Rfam family "5.8S ribosomal RNA", at positions 35 to 154 of the family's 154-position model. The record is from RNAcentral.